RNAcentral lists this ribosomal RNA (253 nucleotides) under uncultured bacterium. RNAcentral's name for it is "partial 16S ribosomal RNA". It matches the Rfam family "Bacterial small subunit ribosomal RNA", at positions 524 to 776 of the family's 1533-position model. The record is from RNAcentral.
UACGUAGGGUGCGAGCGUUGUCCGGAAUUAUUGGGCGUAAAGAGCUCGUAGGCGGUUUGUCGCGUCGACUGUGAAAACCUACAGCUUAACUGUGGGCUUGCAGUCGAUACGGGCAGACUUGAGUUCGGUAGGGGAGACUGGAAUUCCAGGUGUAGCGGUGAAAUGCGCAGAUAUCAGGAGGAACACCGGUGGCGAAGGCGGGUCUCUGGGCCGAUACUGACGCUGAGGAGCGAAAGCGUGGGGAGCGAACAGG